Molecule: transfer RNA, 76 nt
Filed under: Gemmatimonadota bacterium
Lineage: Bacteria; Pseudomonadati; Gemmatimonadota
Description: Gemmatimonadetes bacterium (freshwater metagenome) tRNA-Lys
Rfam family: tRNA
About the family: Transfer RNA (tRNA) molecules are approximately 80 nucleotides in length. Their secondary structure includes four short double-helical elements and three loops (D, anti-codon, and T loops).
Source: RNAcentral
GGCCCCCUAGCUCAACUGGCAGAGCAACUGACUCUUAAUCAGUAGGUUCAGGGUUCGAGUCCCUGGGGGGUCACCA